CAACUACUCCCUCUGUCCCAAAUUUUUUGUCUUAGAUUUGUCUAGAUACGGAUGUAUCUAAUACUAAAAUGUGACUUGAUACAUCCAUACCUAGACAAAUCUACGACAAGAAUUUUGGGACGGAGGGAGUACUUU
Non-coding RNA from Triticum aestivum (bread wheat), 135 nucleotides. NCBI's taxonomy places the organism in Eukaryota, Viridiplantae, Streptophyta, Magnoliopsida, Poales, Poaceae. The record is from Rfam.